Molecule: ribosomal RNA, 820 nt
Filed under: Corophium volutator
Lineage: Eukaryota; Metazoa; Arthropoda; Malacostraca; Amphipoda; Corophiidae
Description: partial small subunit ribosomal RNA
Rfam family: Eukaryotic small subunit ribosomal RNA (bases 250-820)
Source: RNAcentral
GGUGUGGGAUCAAGUGGUGUGCGCUGCUCUUCGCCUCUCUCGCACUCUCUCGCGUGCGCGCGGUGUCUCGGCGUUCGUGUGUGUGUGUGCUCUUAGCUCACCUGGCCCUCGCGGGUUCUGUGUGUGGCGGGGUGCGCGCGCGCGCGUGCGUAUUCACGGGCCCGCCGCCGCGUGGUCACGGGUGCUUGGGGGUGGGCUCGCUCGCUACUCCCGCGACAUGCUCCCGUCCGUAACAAGCCUCCGCGCCUGCGUACAUAGUGGUGCUUGACUGGGGUGACGGACAAGGCGUCGGCGUAUGCUUGCCGGGCUGGCUUUUGAUGGGCGGCGCGUGUGUGUGUUCGCACGCACACUCUCUCACUCUCUCCAGCUGCCCGUGUCUUCGCUCGCCGCUCGCUCCCGUCUUCUCCUAGAGUAUCAGUGUCACCGUGAGUAAAUCGGAGUGCUCAAAGCAGUCGUAACGGGCCUCGUGCCCUGUGAACAGUCUUGACGGACUGACUUGGUUUUGCAUGGUAUGUCGGAAGACGACGUCGAGCGCUGGCUAAGAGGUAUUUUUAAUGAAUCAGUGGUAUAAGCCAGCCUCGACGUACUGAUUAAAAGGGCUUGUCGAGGGCAUUGGUAUUGCGGAGCGAGAGGUGAAAUUCUAUGACCUCCGCAAGACCGCCCGAAGCGAAAGCGUCUGCCAAGGAUGUUUUCAUUAAUCAUGAACGAAAGUUAGAGGAUCGAAGGCGAUCAGAUACCGCCCUAGUUCUAACCCUAAACGAUGCCAACCAUCAAUCCGCGCGUAGCACCCUUUAUGACGGGCUCGGCGGGCAGCUCCUUU